GCAGUGAGGAAUAUUGGGCAAUGCCCGUAAGGGUGACCCAGCAACGCCGCGUGGAGGAUGAAAGCCGUAAGGUUGUAAACUCCUUUUGAAGAGGAAGAAAAUUUUCGAUCGAAUCGAAACCUGACUGUACUCUUAGAAGAAGCCCCGGCUAACUACGUGCCAGCAGCCGCGGUAAUACGAAGGGGGCUAGCGUUGCUCGGAAUUACUGGGCGUAAAGGGCGCGUAGGCGGACAGUUUAGUCAGAGGUGAAAGCCCAGGGCUCAACCUUGGAAUAGCCUUUGAUACUGACUGUCUUGAGUACGGGAGAGGUGUGUGGAACUCCGAGUGUAGAGGUGAAAUUCGUAGAUAUUCGGAAGAACACCAGUGGCGAAGGCGACACACUGGCCCGUUACUGACGCUGAGGCGCGAAAGCGUGGGGAGCAAACAGGAUUAGAUACCCUAGUAGUCC
RNAcentral lists this ribosomal RNA (448 nucleotides) under uncultured Alphaproteobacteria bacterium. RNAcentral's name for it is "bacterial SSU rRNA". It matches the Rfam family "Bacterial small subunit ribosomal RNA", at positions 351 to 796 of the family's 1533-position model. The record is from RNAcentral. Lineage: Bacteria; Pseudomonadati; Pseudomonadota; Alphaproteobacteria.